UUUUCUCUUAAGUACAUCUUCUGAUUGACUUGCAUUUACCCCUUAUAAAGGAAAAGAGAAAAAACAUUACUUCCAAGACCACACUCCCUUUCAAGCUACUAUCGCUUCUGUUCCUAUGAAAGUUCUUAAAAGAUUAGCCUGUUUCUGUCAUCUUUCCUCUUCAUUUACUAUUCUGUUCUCUUUAUUGUAAAAUCAUUUUCUGCUCCCCCAUUCGUUGAAACCAUUCUACGAAAGUGCACGUUUCUAUGUGCUGAGUAUGGUUGUCGUAGUUGUAGACCAUCAGCAUCUGAGCACACUUUUUCCUAAGGGUGAAUUCUUGAGUUUCUACAUCUGGGCAGAAGGUAGGGUUCAUGUGCAAGGUUGAAGAGAUGCAGCUUAGCUUGGCAGUAAGAUAGUUCCACCCAAGGAUAGAGGAGAAGUUAUUAACAAAUAGGCAGCAGCAGCAACAGAGCAUGGAAGAGAGGUGAUGGCCCUGUCUACCCAGUCCGUGGGGUCCCAAACUAAACUCUUUCUCUGCAACAUUUUUCUGUUGAUUCAUCUCUUUUGAGUACUUCCUACUUUCUGAGACUGGUUUUCUAAGUUUUCCAUAAUUUUUGAGCUAAUGCCUUUUUCAUAAAUGUCUUUCAUCCCUUAAUUUAAACAUGUUUGGUUUAUAUUCCUUUGAGUUAAAAGACCUCACUGGUAAAGAAAAUGCUACUUGGGAAUGGGUUUAUGUAAUGGAGCCUUAGAAAAAGUGGGAUGAAGAGUGAGGAUGUGGGACUUAUUAGUGGGCUGGGACUGAAAACAAUGCCUCCCAUUCAUCUUCUGGGAGGUUGCCAGAGAUCAGAGGCUGCCCAUUGCACGCCAUGGUGAAGAGCUAAUUAAAUACAGCCUCUGAUCUCUGGAAUGAAAGAUCUCCCUUGGGAUGAAAUGUCUAUUCAAGGUAAGACUUUGGGGGAACCACAUUGCCACUGAUAUUAAACACAUCAAAUAAAAGACUGUAAGAAUAUUGUGAAUGUUGCGAGAGCAUUGAAUAGCUAAAAAAAAAGCAAAUGAUACAUUUCUCCCCUUAAAUUCUUGAUUAUGGCAAAGACUGGAUCUCAGGAACUCUAACAGUGCUCAAAGAGUCUCUCCAUUCUUCAGCUUCUUUUAACUUCCACGUACUUGACAAUGAAACUCAGGAUGUGAUAUGGUUGCUGAAUUACAAUAAAAAUUAACUUUAUAAUCCUGCUGGUCUUUUUAAGUGAAAGCAAAAGCACCUGGAAAAACUGUUGGUUCCUAAGCAUCAGAAUUGGACCACGUGAGUUGAUUCUAGAGAAUCCCUAGCCUUUCUUUCUCUGUAGUGGUAGGUGGGAGCUGGCUAAUUAUGGCUUACAAGGGCUGAGUGUAUUUACCUCAUCUUUGUUCAGUGAUGUCACCUGGACAACUUGAUGUCAACCAUGGUGUAUUUUAAAUGCUAUAAAUCAGGAUAACAUCCUCCCUGUUGCUGGGGAGUGGGUUGUUAGACAUUUCCCAGCACAUCACUGUUCUUGGGAUUUCAGACAUACAUUUUCCAUAUUUAAUGGGGCUGUCUCUUCUUGCUUGGAGACUUUCUUUUUCUCUGGAGCUAACUUUGCCAGGGAGAGCCAAUGCAUAGCAAGAAACCUGCAGACCUCCCAUUAUUUCUGGACUUCUAACUGAUGUGUCCCAAAGGAGUGAAUUGCAUUUCAAAACCUGGGUGGAAAAGUUGUUUCCUUUAAAAAUUUUUUUUCCUUUUAUUUUUGACAAAACUUGGGACUAUAUGCAAGAACAAUAAUGACUAAUAAGAGUGAUUGACCUUGAAACAGUUUUUCAAAGAAAUGAUUGGCUCAAUCUGAACUGGCAGGUAUGUGUCUGAUUCUUGGUCAUUUGCUUGACUAUAAUCUCAAUUCAGUGGAGGCUUAGGACAGUGAAGUUGAGAUUCUGAAGUUGAAAUGCCUUAAAUAAUACAGAGAAGUAUGGCAUGUAUUCUGGGGUAAAAUUAUCAUAUACAAAUCACCAUCACCCUAAUUUGCCCCCCAAGAGGGUAUAUAGUUCAUUGUCAAGUUCUUAAGAAAUGUGUUGCUGAGGGGAGUGGCAGCAGUUUUGAAAAGAGUUUGUGCCACUGUUCUUUCCUGACUGAGCAUGUGGAUGGCAGAUGCUUCGGUUGAAAUGGUUUCCCUGAUUGAAAUGAGGAGGAAACUCUUGCAGGGCAGCUGAGGCCAUGUGGCAGCAUUCAAAGGUAAAAUUGUUAUGGUUGCCAUAAUAGGCAGCAGAGCAAGCGCAUUGGUUAGAAUGUUCUGAAUUAUAGGAAUCUUUGGCGAAUCACAGGGUUCCUUGGUUGAAAUAGGUGGUAGGACAUUAGUCCUUUUUGAUUUGCAUUGUAGAAAACACUCCCCAGGUGGGAAGCUUAGGUCUGAAACUGGCUACCAUUAAGGGAGUAGCUCAUUUUCACCUAAUUCUCAGAUUUGAGUUAGUAAAUCAGGAAUUUACUUGAUGAUGAACUCUUGUUAUACUAUCAACUGUAUGUGCAAUAAAUCUCCUUCCUAGCCUUCACCAAAGGCUCUGUGACCAUUUACCAUGAAUUGCAGAUAAAGAGCUCUAAAUCUGGUUAGCCUAGUCUUUGCUCUGGGUUUAUUCAAAAUGCCUGGGGAAACACUGUCUUUUUGGGGAAAGAAUUCCAAGGUACUAUUGCUUUUUUAUACCAAUGAUCUGGCAAGCAUUAAGGAUAGCAAUAUUACACUCAAAAGGUAAUGUGCUUUUAGGGGUCAACAUUCAUAUAAACAUUUCAGGUACCAAAUAUUAUUGUUUUGACUUUGUGACAAAAAUAGACUGCUUGCAUUUCAGGUCAUGCUGAUACAAACACAUCCUGGAAUCUGGCUACACAGACAUUUCAUGCUCAGUAUUAUCUACAUGUGAAUAGAAUACAAAGGAGCUGUAAAAUUCCAUGUUGUAAAAAUAUAUGUGCUAAACAUGCCCUGGGAAAGGGUAAAAAAACAGGGCUUUGGGAUAUUGUUAAACACUGAUGCUGAGCUACCUAAUUCCUGGUGACUGAGAAAACCACCGAGAUCUACAGAUAGAACAGCAAACUGUACUUCAGGUUAUAAAUUGAAUUUUGAUCUGAGCCUGCCUCUAGGUGGUCCAGUCUUGUGGUUAUUUUUCUGAAUACAUGAUUGGAAUAGGUCUUUCAAGCAAUUGGCAGGGACCCCCAAUAACUCCUUGCAUCAUAAACAGGGCUAUUGUGAUUGGAAAUGCUAAGCUUCUGGAGUUUCCCCUACCUACCAAAGUAUUAAAAUCCAAUGUGAUAUUGCAUCUAGAGAUGAAUCACAAAAAUGAAAGACAUCAUCGAAAGCAUGAAAGAUACUGGAUUGAUGAUUCUUUUCAGGUCUCUAUUCAGAUCUAUCUAGAAGAGGUACAGGCUUGAAACACAGAAAUUCGUUGAGUGAUUAUAAAUUAUACCCAGUUGUCCAUUUAAUACAUAUUUAUUUGGUACAAACCAAGAUUCAUGCUCUAUGUUAGAUAUCAGGGGAACAGUUAUGAGCCAGUCCUGACAUGUCUUUGUUUUUGUGGCAUAGAUAUUUUGGUGGGGGAGCCUGGUAUUGCUCAAUAUAAUUCUAGGAGCUUGUUUUACAGGGGAACCCUGUGUUGUCCUAGUGUUUGUGUCUGCAUGUGUGUAGAGGGCCUUUGGAGGAGAGAGCAGGGAAGGUGGAGAAAGUCCUCCUUCUACAAGUGAUGCCAAGAUGAGCUUGGAGGUGGAGGUGGGUAUUAGCUAGGCAAAAGGGAGGGCAGAACACCCUAGACAGUAGGAGAGAAAAGUGUGCUUGAGGCAUAGGAUGAAGGACAGUAUACCUGGAGUGAUGAGUGUGAUGGGCAACAUGGCCAGAGAGGAGAUUAAAGUAAUAGACAGGGAGUUAAACUUGCAGGAUUUGCUCCAAUGCGACUCUCCAUGAAGUCAAGUGCAUGGUUAUAAGAAGGUAAGAUGUCAUGAUCAGAUAUUUAGAAGACUUCUCUGACUGCAAUAGGUUUGGAACAGAAAGUGCCAAGAUAUGUCAUCAGCUGUUGCAACAAUCCAAGCGAGAGUUUGUCAUAUGGUCAUAGAAGAUGGAUUCUUCUAUGGGAAAUGGAUUCAUGAGAUAUCUAGGAAGUACAGUUAAUGUGACUGGUGGUGAACUGCUGAUGAUGGAUUGAAUAUGGGACAUGGAACAGUGGAAACUGUAAAGUAAUACUCAUAUUUCUUGCUGGUAUGACAGAAGAUAACUAUUUCUAUGUGUAUAUAUAAUCUAACUGGCUGGACUAGGUCUGAUUUGGGGCUCAUUUGCUUUGCUGUAAUCUGGAUUCAUUGGAAGAUGUCUAUCUAUCAAUCACUAAAUAAGAAUAAAAGUGGUGCAAUGAUGAGAUGUUCAUUCAUGGAGCUAUAGAGAUUGAGAGGCAUCACAUAGUUAUGUGAAGAUAUUGAGUGAGAAAUUAGACAAAAGUUUGAGGGAUGAGAACCGGUUUGAUAAUGAAAUAAACCAUAAAUAUGGUGGUCAUUGGGCCAUGGAUGAUAAGUGAGGCAAGCAAUGAGAAGGAAUGCAGAGGGAGAAGAGAAGAGCCCGAGAGACUAUGCCCCAAAGGACUCUAGUAGGUAGGGUGCAGGUCCCCUGAGAUACAGUCAGUAUCAGCGUGAUGCACCCAGCAAGAACUCAUAAUGGCUUAUGGACUUUAAAAAUAAACUGAUAGGAGUUCCUGUCUGGUGCAGUGGAAAUGAAUCUGAGUAGGAACCAUGAGGUUUUGGGUUCAAUCCUGGCCUCGCUAAGUGGGUUAAGGAUCCGGCGUUGUCAUGAGCCGUGCUGUAGGUCGUAGACAUGGCUCUGAUCUGGUGUUGCUGUGGCUCUGUCUGAUUAGACCCCUAGCCUGGGAACCUCCAUAUGCUGUGGGUGUGGCCCUAAAAUAGACAAAAGACAA
Molecule: long non-coding RNA, 4920 nt
Filed under: Sus scrofa (pig)
Lineage: Eukaryota; Metazoa; Chordata; Mammalia; Artiodactyla; Suidae
Description: lncRNA (ENSSSCG00000053753.1)
Source: RNAcentral